UCGAAACCUGCCCAGCAGAACGACCAGCGAACAUGUUAUAAACACAAAUGGGGGAGUGGGUGAUGGCCUGUCCAGCCCCCCUCCCCUACGUCGGGGGGCACACCUYCGGGCGUGCUGCCCGACACAAUAACGAACCCCGGCGCGUAUGCGUCAAGGAAGAUCAACAUGAGUUUGCUCGUCCUUUGCCCGGGUUUCCGGCGCAUGGAUGUGGCACCCAAUCUAAGUCAUAAAAUGACUCUCGGCAACGGAUAUCUCGGCUCUCGCAUCGAUGAAGAACGUAGCGAAAUGCGAUACUUGGUGUGAAUUGCAGAAUCCCGUGAACCAUCGAGUUUUUGAACGCAAGUUGCGCCCGAAGCCUUCGGGCCAGGGCACGUCUGCCUGGGCGUCACGCAUAGCGUCUCACCCACCCCACCAUGCGCGGGGAGGGAGAGGAAGAUGGCCUCCCAAGCCUCACCAGGCGUGGAUGGCCUAAAAAAGGAGCCCCGGGUUACUUGUUGCCGCGGCGAUUGGUGGUAUACAUGGCAAUUGCCUAGGAAGCAUCGCGUCGUGCAAUGGGUAGCUCAUGCGGCCUCGUAGGACCCUCAUAAACCUUUGCGACCCCAG
This 603-nucleotide small RNA is filed under the name Iresine sp. AC945. Its description in RNAcentral is "eukaryotic LSU rRNA". The stretch from base 234 to 388 matches the Rfam family "5.8S ribosomal RNA". Lineage: Eukaryota; Viridiplantae; Streptophyta; Magnoliopsida; Caryophyllales; Amaranthaceae. The record is from RNAcentral.